Molecule: long non-coding RNA, 3400 nt
Filed under: Prunus persica (peach)
Lineage: Eukaryota; Viridiplantae; Streptophyta; Magnoliopsida; Rosales; Rosaceae
Description: long non-coding RNA (PPER_LNC002747)
Source: RNAcentral
AUGGGUUUGGUUAUGUUCUGUAACUUUUCUUUUGUUGUUAAUUUAAGUACAUUAAGAUAUGGACUCUGUCUUUGCUCAGCACAGAGUGUUUUAAGUUUUUUUGGUUUUUUGUUUUCAGUUGGUUGUUAUCUUCCACCUCUAUCUAUAUGGGCAGAGGUUCGAAGUUGAGUAUUUGUGUUAAUCUUCCUUCCUCAAUAUUUUAUAAUAAAAAAAAUAUUUAAGUUUUUUAAAAAUAUUUUAUAUACCAGUGAUAUUGGAAGGGCUCUUAAUAAUUUAAUUAAAAAUAUAAUAAAAAUCCUAAUAAGUUUGAACAAAGCCAAAGUUGGGGAAUUACAAAGCAGGAACAAUAGCAAUGAGGGGAAGGGGGUGAUUAGGAGUAUAAGCCUUAUCAAAGUACUAUAUGCGUACUUUGAUAUUUAAAGUUAAUGUCGAUUAUACUUUUUUAAUGCUGAUAAUAGCUUCCUAAAUAUCAGUGUCUUCAUUAGCUAGAGUGGCCCUAAUCAGACAUUGUUAUAAAUCUAGAGAAAUUGGAGAGAAUUGAGAUAGAGAGAAACUGAUCUCUUAUUGAAUAUUUGUUCUUCACAUAUCUGUCUUACAAAGAGAAGGGGAAGGGGCUUAUUUAUAGGUAAGUAGAAGUGGGCUCCACCAUAUAUAUUUACAACAGACAUCUAUAUAUUAUUGUUUUUUAGGGACUAUCUAUGCUAGAAAGGAAAAAGUUCUAGCCUCCUCUCUCUCAAAAAAAAAAUAAAAAACUCUCUGAGUCCUUUUUAUUUUGAGGGGGAGGAAGUCAUUGUUCUUCCCCCCUUUCCGUUCUUCUUUUCUUCGCUUAUCUUCUUCUCCCAUUCUAAAAAACAGAAGGCUUCCACUAUUUGUCUUAUUUUAUUAUGAUUUUCCUUUAAUCAUUACAGACGGUUGAGUUACGGUGUUGGAUCUCUACUUGCGUUUCGCCGUUGGAUUUCCACCACCAUCCUUUUUGUGAUUUUUUUUAUAUAUUUGGAAUAAGUCGCAAAGACUCUUUGAGUUUUCUCUGUAGUUUUCACAUCUCCUUUUGUGAGAACUUUUCACCUUUCUUUUAUGAGAGCUUUUCAUAUCUUCUUUAUGAGAGUUUUAUUUGUAUUGUUAUGAUUUGAUUUUUUCAAGUUUUAUAUCUUUUUCAUUAUUCUGAGUUUGCAAUCUUAGUUGGAAUGCUUAUGCUAAAGUUUCUUCGAUCAUGCGUGAUCGUUAGUAGAGGCGCACAAAAUUGUCUUAAUUUUGAUGUUAAAUUGCUCUGUUAUUGUAAUGGCCCUUUGUGGCUAGUAGCUUUUUUGGUUAUUUAUGAAUGCAACCACAGAAUUUCUUAACUAAAAGAAAAAAGAAAAGGAAAAAGCUUGGCAGGGAGCCCAUCCUCCAAACAAAUAGAGUUUUGACACUUGGGAAAUUCCUUUUAUUUGUUUUGAAUUCCUUUUAACUUUAUUUCUUUCGAAAUUUUUUAAGUGUCAAAAUCUAAUUUAUUGUAAUGAUGUUUUCUUUCUCAAUUUUAAGGAGCCAAUCCAUGCUCUAGAAAAGAGCUGUAGUAAUUUAUGCUUUGAGAAGACACUGUAGGGGCUUUCGAAGGUGGAUAGAUUGGAUUUAGGGAAGCUGAGUUGCAGUGUGAUUUGGCAGUGGAAGCUGAGUUGGGAUUGGAAUUUGGACAAGAAGAAAGAGAAAGUUGCUGGAAGGACAACUUCGCCCUCAAUAUUGACAGAAAAAUGGAUGAUAUGUUUCAAAUUUGACAAUAGGGAGUAGAUUGACAAAAAAAAUUAGUUUGUAUCCUUAAUUGACUAAAAAAAGUUCAAAUUGGAAAAUCGAAAAUUACUUGAUAGUCCGGGACACAAUUCGGCAAUUUACUAAUGAAAUGAUUGCAUUACUAGCGUGUGUGAGGGUUUUGUAUAUAUGAUGGAUAUUCAAAUUAUUCAAUUAGGCCCCUUGUGACUUAUCCACUGCGACUAUAAAGGCACCCAAUUUUAUUUUUUUUGGUCGGAUAAAGGCACCGAAUUUGACGAUGAGAAUUGGACCCACCAUCCAGCCAAUUAAAUAGAACAUCACUCUCCACCGUCAGAUUGUCCAAAGUUAAAAAAAAGACCCAUCCCAUCUUAUCUCAACCCUUACUUUUAGUACAAACUUUCAUGUCAAGCAUCAUCAAUCCAUCACAGAUCUCUAAACACGGAGGAAACACGAGCGGACACGUAAGUGCCGACCUCCUGCCACGUGGCGCAAACCCAGUGCACCCGCUACCUCCUCUGUAUUUUACCCAAUAAAUCCAUUGAAGAUCCACCUCCUAUAAAUAGCUGCGAAAAUAUAAAUCUCAGCAACAAGGCUGCAAGUGCUAAAUCUAAUCUAGUGUUGAUCUCUUUGUUCGUAUUAAUAUUUUGUUGUUGGUGUGUGCGCUCUGAAAAUGUCUGAGUUGUUGGAAAAAGCCAAGAACUAUGUGGCUGAGAAAGUGGGUCAUGUGAAGAAGCCAGAGGCAGAAGUCACAGAUGUGGAUUUCAAGACGGUGAGCUUUGGAUCUGUUGAGUACCUUGCAAAAAUCUCUGUGACCAAUCCCUAUGGAGUUGACCUCCCCAUCUGUGAUAUCACUUACAACCUCAAAAGUGUUGGCAGGUUCCAAUUCUCACUUUCUAACACUUAGGGUUCAAUUUUUAUUUGUUUAUUUUUGUUAUAGAUGCUCAUUUGAUCCCUGUGUUUUGCUUGAAAUUUCUAAUUUGAUUUUUGUGUUUUCAAUUUCGUCAAUUUGGUCCCCUAUUUUCAUUUUCAUAAUGUGUAAGAAUCAAGAUUGUCAAACAUCGAAAUAGAUUACGGUCAAAUUAGGCAAAGGGAUCCUGAUUGUCAAAUUCAAAGCAUAGAGAACAGAAUAAAAAUUUGAACAGAACAUACGAUUGGUGUUGUGGUGUUGGUUUUACUUUGUUGGAAGAUAUCUCGAGUUCAAAUGCGAUCAAUACACAAUUUUUUGAUUUAAAAAAAAAAUAGAUUAGUUUCUAUGCCAUGAUCAUAUAUAUAAAGUGACUUGAUUUGUAUGUGUACAUGUGAAUUUGUAGGGAGAUUGUAUCUGGAACUGUACCAGAUCCUGGUUCCAUAGAAGGAAAGGACAUUACUGUGCUUGAGGUACUAUUAAAGGUGCCACAUAACAUAUUGUUGACCUUGGCAAAAGAUAUUGGAGCAGAUUGGGACAUUGAUUAUGAGCUGGAUAUAGGCCUCACCAUUGACCUUCCUGUCUUUGGCAACUUCACCAUACCACUUAACAAGAAGGGAGCGAUCAAGCUUCCCAGCCUCUUCUGAUCCAUAUGACCUUUGAGAUUCUAUGGCUUUGGUUAUAUUCUGUAACUUUUCUUUUGUUGUUAAUACAAGUACAUUAAGAAAUGGACUGUCUUUGCUCAGCAACCCC